RNAcentral lists this ribosomal RNA (380 nucleotides) under Klebsiella pneumoniae. RNAcentral describes it as "bacterial LSU rRNA". It matches the Rfam family "Bacterial large subunit ribosomal RNA", at positions 2559 to 2925 of the family's 2925-position model. Lineage: Bacteria; Pseudomonadati; Pseudomonadota; Gammaproteobacteria; Enterobacterales; Enterobacteriaceae. The record is from RNAcentral.
UAGGUCCCAAGGGUAUGGCUGUUCGCAUUAGUGGUACGCGAGCUGGGUUUAGAACGUCGUGAGACAGUUCGGUCCCUAUCUGCCGUGGGCGCUGGAGAAUUGAGGGGGGCUGCUCCUAGUACGAGAGGACCGGAGUGGACGCAUCACUGGUGUUCGGGUUGUCAUGCCAAUGGCACUGCCCGGUAGCUAAAUGCGGAAGAGAUAAGUGCUGAAAGCAUCUAAGCACGAAACUUGCCCCGAGAUGAGUUCUCCCUGAGACUUUAAGUCUCCUGAAGGAACGUUAAAGACGAUGACGUUGAUAGGCCGGGUGUGUAAGCGCAGCGAUGCGUUGAGCUAACCGGUACUAAUGAACCGUGAGGCUUAACCUUACAACGCCGAAG